This 200-nucleotide ribosomal RNA is filed under the name uncultured bacterium. RNAcentral describes it as "partial 16S ribosomal RNA". It matches the Rfam family "Bacterial small subunit ribosomal RNA", at positions 8 to 195 of the family's 1533-position model. The record is from RNAcentral.
AGAGUUUGAUCCUGGCUCAGGACGAACGCUGGCGGUAUGCUUAACACAUGCAAGUCGAACGAGACGAAAGUGAAGUGCUUGCACGGAACUUUUAGAAAGUGGCGAACGGGUGAGUAACGCGUGGGUAACCUGCCCUAUGGAAAGGAAUAGCCUCGGGAAACUGGGAGUAAUGCCUUAUAAUAUAAAGAAGUCGCAUGGCU